This 433-nucleotide ribosomal RNA is filed under the name uncultured bacterium. RNAcentral describes it as "bacterial SSU rRNA". It matches the Rfam family "Bacterial small subunit ribosomal RNA", at positions 355 to 786 of the family's 1533-position model. The record is from RNAcentral.
UAAGGAAUAUUGGUCAAUGGGAGAAAUCCUGAACCAGCAACGCCGCGUGAAGGACGAAGGGCUUUUAGCUUGUAAACAUCUUUUUUGAGGGGAAAAAUAUACGAUUACUUCGUGUUGAUUGUACCUUGAGAAUAAGCCCCGGCUAACUACGUGCCAGCAGCCGCGGUAAUACGUAGGGGGCAAGCGUUGUCCGGAUUUACUGGGUGUAAAGGGUGCUCAGGUGGAUUUGUUAGUCGGAGGUGAAACUCCGGAGCUUAACUCCGGAACUGCCUCCGAAACAGCAAGUCUUGAGUUUGGUAGAGGAUGAUGGAAUAUCUGGUGUAGCAGUGAAAUGCGUAGAUAUCAGAUAGAACACCAAUGGCGAAGGCAGUCAUCUGGGCCAUAACUGACACUAAAGCACGAAAUGCGUGGGGAUCAAACAGGAUUAGAUACC